AAGACUAUACUUUCAGAGAUCUUUGCUGCAGCUGAUUACUAGAGACGUUUCUUUGUGCAGAAUGCUGGAAACCACAGGGAGGUGGUGCAGGCUUCUCUCCGGAGCUCCUGGAGACCAGCUCUUGGUGGUGUUUUAGUACAACUGCCAUUUGUAUGUUCAACUGCCUUAUAUGUUCUUCCUUUGGGAGAAUAAGAGGGAGAAGACCCAAUCUUAGUGGU
Nycticebus coucang (slow loris) is the source of this 218-nucleotide small nucleolar RNA. RefSeq annotates it as small nucleolar RNA U3. The transcript has a single exon. The record is from RefSeq and is a predicted model, not a curated record. Lineage: Eukaryota; Metazoa; Chordata; Mammalia; Primates; Lorisidae.